This 4577-nucleotide long non-coding RNA is filed under the name Cricetulus griseus (Chinese hamster). Its description in RNAcentral is "lncRNA (ENSCGRG00015036954.1)". The stretch from base 289 to 334 matches the Rfam family "Histone 3' UTR stem-loop". Lineage: Eukaryota; Metazoa; Chordata; Mammalia; Rodentia; Cricetidae. The record is from RNAcentral.
GCCACAUGGGCUUCUACUGCAGGUUUCAUUGGGUCCACAUCUCAGGCUCAUUUCCCUUCACAUGGGUCAGGGGCUUUCCCUGCAUCUGCUCCCUGGACUACCCACCUGCCAACCCAGCCACCUCAAUACCUGUUCAUGCCUGUUCUGAUUCUGUUGCUGUUGCCAGACAUCCCAUCCUCAGUCAUCACAGCUACCAAUGCUGUGCACAAACUAAAAAGUCAAUAGAUCUGGAGAGACACCUGGGAAUUCCUAGGGAGGGAAUUAGGUUAUAUUCCUAACCUAGGUUAUAAUUAGGAUUUUUUAAAAUCCCCACAUUAAGAAUGGGGAAUAUUAUUCCAAUUCAGAGUGUUAGGACUCUGUAUAGUUCCACAAUGGGUGGUUUAAAAUUGAAAAAAAUAAAAGAAGGAAUAGCAGACUUAAGUUGGAUCAGCAUAAUGUUGAGUAUAACUGUUAACUGGUAAUUCAUAGCUAUCCUUUAAAAAGUGGUUUAAUAACUAAGCCAAAUAUUAAAAGUUGACUGAUAAGGACCAAGCAUUGGUGGCAUACGCCUUUAAUCCCAGCACUCGGGAGGCAGAGGCAGGCAUAUCACUGUGAUCUCCAGAGCAAGUGCCAGGAUAGGCUCCAAAGCUACACAGAGAAACCCUGACUUGGGAAAAAAACCAGCUGACUGAUAAAAUAUGUCUUAGAAAGGUUUAUAUUACUAAGGUACAAGCUUUAGGGAGACCUACUAAUGAAACUUAAGAAAAAUAUUCACACAGAGAUGCUGAAAUAUAGAGCAGUACCUACCAUAGCACUGCAUAAUGAAACUGAAGAGGAGUGGUCCAAAGUUAUUAGAAAAGCAACAUGAGUUUAUCUAGUUACUAUAUAAGAAUGAUCAUUGGACAAUAGACAGCCCCAAUGUUGUGUAGAAGUUAAAUGGAAUCCUGUAUAAUGUUAGAUUUGAAGAGAUUUAAGGAAGCAGUAAUUUCAUAUGGUAUGCAUUUUUCCUAUAUGAAACAGAUGUUAAAUUCCUGUACAACUCAAAACUGAAUUACCCCCAAGACUGAAAAGACUUAGCUACAGUAAUAUUGGAGGCUCAUUCUCAGUUACAAUGGAGAACAUGGUGGAAAGAGGGAGCUAGGGCCAUAGAAUAAUGAAAUAGGGUAGAGCCACUGAUAUUUCAUAGACAAGUUUCUUGGUGAAGGCCCAUAUACUGAAUUGAAUUCAUUGGCUACAUCUUGGCAUUAUGUCUUUAGCUGCUUUGAAUACUUGGGAGAGGGCUAAAGAAUUAGGAAAGAGGACUGAGUAAUUUACCAAAAUUAUAUACCCCCAAAGAAGUGUUCACUGCUUUUUUUUCAAAUAUUUACUUCCGCUGUAAAUAUAAUAUUACAUGCAGAAGUUAGACAAAUACUAAUUGCAUCUUUGUCUUUUCAUUCUACCACAGAAUGAAAAGGAGUGAUUAGGCCUUUAAAAGCAAGAUCAGUACCCAUAGGUAAAUGGAUCAGAAAUACAGCUAAUAUUGAAUCUCACACUUAUGAUACUAGUUUGAUAGGAAAAGUGAUUUCUAAAAAUUUGAAGAAAAAGCAAAAUGUCAGGUGUUUUGGUUGUGGCAAACAAGACCAUCUGUAGAGGACCGGUAGGCUAAGCAUUCCUAGAAACAAUGUGUUUUUUUUUUUCUAGAGCCAAUUCAAACAGAAGUCCCUAGCCUUCCAGAAUAUGCAGAAAGCAUGGCAAAGCCUGCAUUGGACGAAUGAAUGCAAAUUAACAAGGGACAGGCAAGGUAACCCUUUUCUAUCUGGAAAUACCUUAGGAAGACUUUUGCAGGCCCCAAUAUCAAAUUUGGUUCAAUCAUUCUCUGAUAGCAUUGGAAGUUCAUCCAUGGAUCAAUUAAGGACUUAAUGCUUAUUGUUAAAAAACCAUACUGCUCUAGAUGAUAGAAUGAUUUUAUUAGAUGAAACAAAAACUUUCAGGAGAAAGAAUAAGACAGCUGUUUUUCAAAUUUUAAUAAAUCAUCAAAGACAAAAGCUAAAAAUAUGAAUAAAUAACAUUGCAAUUGAAGUUGUGGUUGACAUAAGUGCAGAUGUAACAAUAAUUUCACCAAAACCUUGGUAUCCAGAUUGACCACUUCAGGAGUUAGAUAUUCAGCUUCUAGGGAUUGGAACUUUAUCUCAGGUCAAACAAAAUAUAAGGUGAGUUGAGUGUAUAGGGAUGAAAGGACAUUUAGGGCAAUUAAGGUCAUAUGUGGCUAACAUAGGUUUGAAAUUAUGGGGACAUCAUUGGUUACAGCAAUGGAAAACAGAAUAAUAGUCCUCCAAUCUCAGAAAUUAAACCAUAAAACAAAACAUGCUUCUGAGAGAAAUAUUACAAGUUAUUAUCAAAAUUAGUCACUGACUAUUCAGGUUGUGCAUAAAUGGGCCCAACAGCUGUUAGUCUUCCAAAGGUACUGACAGCCCUACAUUUAAAAUGGUUUAUUAACUUUAUUUUUUGUUUUUUGACACAGGGUUUCUCUGUAUAACAGUCCUGGCAAUCAUGUUUUAGACCAGGCUGAUCUCAAACUCACUGAGAUCUGCCUGCCCCUAUUCCCUAAAUGUUGGGAUUAAAGGCAUGUACCACCACCACACAGGUAACUUUAAAUAAAUUUUUAAAAUGCUGAUGAGAAAGGAAUGACAGCUGUGGAGAGGCAUUGGAUAGUAGAAAAAACUGCUGAAUUAAAUCAGCCUGUAUAUUUUAAUGAUAAGUUGACUUCAGAAUGGAAGUCAGUAUAUGUUUUAUAUAGGGGAGGAGAUUUUGCGUUUGAUAUGAAAAGAACAGCUAUGGUUACCAUUAGGUUUAAUAAUGAUAAGAUUCUUUUAGAAGAGUCAUCUUGAUUAGGAGAGGUGAUAGUUCAUUAAACAGUAUGUCAAUUCACUCUAAACUACCUGAUGCCUUCUACUACUAACAAAUGCCUUCAUUUGAUCAGAUAUAAACUGCCAAAAGGAACCUGCCAUAGUUAGGUUUGGGGCAGGGUUUUGGUUUGUUUUGUUUCCAGGAGAAUAAGAGCAUCCAAUAAAAGCAAGUAAAGACCACGACAAAGGGAACAUGGGAAGAAGAAGGGCAAAUCAUCAAGAGAAAAUGUCCCAAGGCGAAGAGUAGAUUUGCUUAAUUGUAUAACAUACCUUCAACAGAAUAGAAUUUUAUAAAUCUUCCCAAAUGUUUGUUUUUGCUGUGUUUUACAAAUAAAAAAGACAAACUGUACACUUUUGUGUUUCCAAUUCAAUUAAAAAUGAAAGCUGGACUUUGACUUGUAGUGUGGCUCUCUCCUUCUCUAAACCAAGUAUGCUCACUAAAAGAAACCCCAAAUCUCUCUUUCCUGUCAGAAGAGUCACCUGCUAUGGGACAGAAGAAAAACAAAAAUUAAGGUACUAUUCUAUUUCUACUAAUCUCAUAAUCCAUUGGUUUUAUUUUGAAUAUUAAAACAUUUCUUAAUGUAUAAAUAUUAGCUCAAAAUCUGUGAUAUUAUUAUAUAUAUUUAAACUUUCAGGUUUGAUAUUAAUGGUCAUAUGGUGUAUUAACUAAUUGUAGAAGUAAAGUUCAUCUAGCUUCCUGUAUGUGAUUUCUGGCUUGAGUCUGAAGGAAUAACGAGAUAACUAGGAACUAAGUUUGUGUACCCUGAAUGUAUUUAAGAGAUUGUGGUUCUUUAACCUCUUUGAUAUCUGAUAAAUUGAUAUGGAUUUUUGUAUAUUGAUACAAAUAUAAGGCUGUUUUUGUUUUAACAUAUUAUAUAUUUUUUUCUAUUCUUGUUUAAGGUAUUAUAGUGUAAGAUCUUAAAAUGAAGUUCAUCCAAAACUGUAAGGUAAAGUUCUAGUCCUUGAAAGCUAUUAUUCCAAAUUAUGUAGUAUAACUAAGAAAUGCAGAUUAGUAGUUAGUCACUUAUAACAGUGAAAUUUAUAGCUAUGUUAAAUAUGUUUUCAAGUGCAAACAGAUGUAUUUUAGAUGGAUAGAUGGUCUUUAAACACUUCAUAUCUACAGAAUAUGGCAUUUAAUAUAUUUUAAUAACAUAAGGUAUUUUAUGACAGUGAGAUGUAUUUUCUUCUGGCAGCACCAAUUUAUUUUAGAGAACAUGAUGGGCAUGGAGUUUGCUAUCUUUGUGACACUGCUCUUCCCUUGACUGCUGAUAGUAGGCUGCCCAAAUUGGACAAGCAGGACACAAAUGAAUGCAACUGGAGAUCUUUGCAAAGACGAAGUAAGUCCUUCCAAAUUCCUGUUUCAUAGAAAAGUCUGUGAGAUAUUCCAGUCCUGUAGGCUGAAUAUGUAUGCACCAGUGUUUCACAAGAUCCUUGAGUGACCAUCCAGGCAGCCAGCUGUCUCUGUCAUUUUUAUAGUUUUGGAAGUUGUUUGCUCUGCAUUUUCUGUUUACUUGGGUAAUAUUUUCUCCUUCUUGGAUCUCUGAUGGGGGUGAAGAAUAGAUAGUUACUUCCCCCGUAUAGAUUCACAGAGGUAGUAGACUGUUCUCAAAUAAUGUACUUAUCUUAUUGGAUGUCUUGUUGGUGUCCUCCCUUGCCAGUGGAUCACAUCCUGCCGCUGGAGGACAGGGAAAAAGGGAUACUUCCUAUUUCUCC